GUGGUGGCGGCGGAGGGUUCGGCGUCGCUGGCUCGCUGGCCCUGCAGACGGUCCGCAAGCGCUGCCGGGUCGGCUGCGCCACCUAGCACGACAUCAUGGACUCGGCCGCGACUCCAGUUGACCCGACGGACGGGGUGACAGGAGAGAUCCAGAUGACGCCGGAAGACUGUCAGAAACUGCACAGAGAUACGGAGAUAACAUCACCAGGUCCGUUCUGCAAUGCCACCUGGGAUAACAUCCUCUGCUGGCCACCUACGGCUGCUGGCACCACUACGUCACAACAAUGCCCAACACUCAAGGGUGUGGACCCGAGCAAACUGGUUUUCAAAGUCUGCCUGCCGUCCGGCCUGUGGAAAGGGAAAACGCUAAAUGACGCGCCGUCCGAGGCUGGCUGGACCAACUACACCACCUGCUACACGGACGAGAUGAGGAAAAUCAUCGCCAAGCUGUACGCUGGCUCCCAGGCCGACGCCGAGCAAAAGAUCCUGAUAGCGCGAAACACGCGCAUUUUGGAGCUGACUGGACUUUCUCUGUCACUCGCAACUCUGUUUAUAUCACUGUUCAUCUUCUUCCACUUCAGGUCGCUGAAGAACAACCGCACCAAGAUACAUCGGAACCUGUUGGUUGCCAUGGUGAUCCAAGUGCUGGUGCGUCUGGUGCUCUACUUGGACCAGGUCAUCAGUCGCGGUGGUAUCGGCGAGGAUGCUCCCAUCGGUUCAGCCAGCCAGGGCAUCGACAAUACACCGUUCGUUUGCGAGGCGUUCUACGUGCUGCUCGAGUAUGCCCGCACGGCCAUGUUCAUGUGGAUGUUCAUCGAAGGUCUCUACCUGAACACGAUGAUAUCAGUGACGGUCUUUUCCCCGAAGUUUUACGACAAGUUUUACUACGCCACUGGAUGGGGUGUGCCAAUUAUUAUGACCGCGAUAUGGGCAGUGUUUACGGGAUUGAACUACGGGGAGAUAAGCUGUUGGUGGAAUUAUAACCUUACGACGCAUUACUGGAUACUGGAGGGACCCAGAAUCGCCGUCAUGAUGCUGAACGUCGCCUUUUUGGUCAAUAUUAUCAUAGUGUUGGUGACCAAAAUGCGGCAGAGCAACUCAAGUGAGGCUUUACAAGCCCGGAAGGCGGUGAAGGCUGCAAUAGUGUUGCUGCCGCUGCUCGGCAUCAACAACAUCAUCAACAUGGUGGACGCACCUCUGGACCGCUCUGUGGAGGAGUUCGCCGUGUGGUCCUACCUGACGCACUUCCUCGCGUCCUUCCAAGGCUUUUUCGUCUCGCUGCUAUACUGCUUUCUCAAUGGAGAGGUGCGGCUGGCCAUCAGCAAGAUGAUAUACGACUACUGUUCGUCGCGGACAGCGGAAGCGUACCGGCGCGGCUCCGGCUUCUCGAGCGUGUUCCUGACGACGGUGGCCGAGCCGGCCCGGGCCGAGCCGGCCCGCGCUCUGGUGGCCUGCGGCUGCGUCCGUACCAAGUCACCGUCGCCCGCCUGCCAGGGUGCCUGUCGUCUUCUGUUGCCCUCACCACCUUCCCACAUCAACACGGAGAUCUGAGAGGACGCGGUGGCGGGCGCCGACGACAUAGCUAGCUCUGCAUGACUGAUUGUUAGCUGUGGGCAGUCGGCAGACAGGACUCAAGUCUGAUCUCAGCGCCAUCUGCCGUCGAUAAGGGGAGAGUGACGUUGGCUGGGCGACCACCGCACUACUCGCCACUCAUCGCUUCUCAUUUGCCUUCGGUACCUGCCAAGCUUGACCCCAUCGCCGACUUCGCGCUUCUCCCGGAGCGGCGUGUGACGACUGUGCGCAUUCAUCAUCAUGUCGGUAUCAUUAACAUGAUAAGGCAGUCUAAUGUAUUGCAUUGUGCAUGUUAUGCUUAAUUAGUUUUAUGUGUGAUGUUAGCCAAUGAACGUUCCAUUACAAUGUACAUUGUUGACAUGAUCCAAAAGAUGUUUGUGCGUCGUUUUCAAGCUAAUGCACUUGUGUAUAAGCUUCAUUGUUGUGAAUGCAUUCUGUAACACUGGAAUAGAACUGAGGCGAAGAUGCGAGCUAAUAUGCGAGCUAAAUUAUCGGGUUGUUACUGAUUCGGCAUUCACUUGCCUGCUUCUGUUAUAUGUACGGGUAUCUGCGAGUGAGACUGUGAUGUUGCCAAAUCUAUGAUGUGUGCUCCAUUUAAGGACGUCUAAGAUUCCUUGAACAGAUCAUGCACGUGUUCGUUGGAUGAUGCCAUGGUGUGAUCAAUAUGAAUGAAACGGUAGGUGUUGGCUGCUG
RNA transcript from Pollicipes pollicipes, 2264 nucleotides. It is a transcript of the gene named PDF receptor, with no coding region annotated. Lineage: Eukaryota; Metazoa; Arthropoda; Thecostraca; Pollicipedomorpha; Pollicipedidae. The record is from RefSeq and is a predicted model, not a curated record. The transcript is spliced from 14 exons.